Molecule: long non-coding RNA, 354 nt
Organism: Suricata suricatta (meerkat)
Lineage: Eukaryota; Metazoa; Chordata; Mammalia; Carnivora; Herpestidae
Exons: 3
Source: RefSeq, a predicted model, not a curated record
GUGAGUUUAGCCAGGUUGAAGAUGCCUUAGCUAAGGCUCUGCUAUCUACUAUAUGGACUAUCUUCCUAAAACAGAUGAGCUCAUGUUAGUACUUUUCAAAUACUUCUCUAAUGCCUGCACGAUGAAGGUUAAACUCUUCUGGGGCACUUCACACUGUUGUUUACCUCACUUUUCAGGUAAACUGAUAAACCUGAGUGCAUUCAUACCCUGGAAUACUACUCAGCAACAAAAAGAAUCAAACUACUGAUACAUGCAACAACUUGGAUGAAUCUGGAAGGCGUCAAUCAUAUUGAAUGAAACCAAGUCUCAAAAAGUUACGUAUGUAUUAUUCCAUUUAUGUGACAGUCUCCAAAA